Girardinichthys multiradiatus is the source of this 341-nucleotide long non-coding RNA. RefSeq lists it as uncharacterized. The transcript has 3 exons. NCBI's taxonomy places the organism in Eukaryota, Metazoa, Chordata, Actinopteri, Cyprinodontiformes, Goodeidae. The record is from RefSeq and is a predicted model, not a curated record.
UGACCUGAUCUCCAGACAGAGCUGAGGUCUCUGUGAAGGACAGACCUUUAGAGCUGGCCAGACCCAGUCCUUCCUGUGGGACCACAUGGAGAAAUCAUCACAUGGAUCUGCUGGAACUCACACUCUAUGUUUCAAAGUGGGUCACGGGGGAGCUGGUGCCGAUCUCCAGCAAUCUACGGGCGAGAGACGAGGUCCAUCCUGGACAGAUACAAGAACCGAACCUGGACUGAAGAGCAGCCAAAGUUGAAGUCUUUGUGUUUAGGUCUCAUGCCUACCUCAGCUGAAACCUGCCGGUCCUGAUCCAGGUCUCCCUUGUUGCCCACGAGACAAAUGACCGUAGA